Molecule: long non-coding RNA, 659 nt
Filed under: Betta splendens (Siamese fighting fish)
Lineage: Eukaryota; Metazoa; Chordata; Actinopteri; Anabantiformes; Osphronemidae
Description: lncRNA (ENSBSLG00000022663.1)
Source: RNAcentral
GUAAUAUCAGCUUCAUCAUUAGUUCAAACACGCAGCAGUCAAACCAACAUCAGAAGACCAUGGACAACCCAGUAAAAACUGCCGGGACAGAACAGUAGAAUGAGCACCAAUUUCUUGGGAUCCUGAGAUAGAUGGAAGAGGAGGCCGUUCGCAGCCCUGCCGGCCCCGAAGAGGAGGCCGUUUCUGUUUCAUGGUGGUCCGACUCCGACGUCCGCCUCGGUUCCUCGAGGUUCGGCUCCAACCAUGUCAGCUCCGGCUCCACGUCUGGUUCUGGUCUCGGCUCUUCGCCUGUCUUCGUCCCUGGCUUGUCCCUCAACUCUGGUUCUGGUUCUGGUUCUGUGCCUGUCCUCAUCCCUGGGUCAUCCCUCAUCUCUGGUUCCCGCUCCUCUUGGUUUUCGUCUCUGGUCCCAGAUCAGCCGUCUCGUCCACCUGAAUGGUGGCCUUGCCCUCAGCUCCGCCUGUCCGCCCGUAGGACGUCGGGCGCGCCCUGCUGUAUCGCCGUAACCCCCCCCCCCCCCCCCCCCCCCCCCCCCCAUAUUAUUUACUGUUUUAUUUUGCAGAAAUUUCCAGUUUCUGUUUCACCAUGUUUUCGUCCCGCUUUACUUCCGGUCACUGAUCAGUCCAGCUGUUGUUCCUUAGUCUUUGUUGAUAACUCUUAG